This 204-nucleotide ribosomal RNA is filed under the name Oesophagostomum environmental sample. RNAcentral describes it as "partial 18S ribosomal RNA". Lineage: Eukaryota; Metazoa; Nematoda; Chromadorea; Rhabditida; Strongylidae. The record is from RNAcentral.
AUAAAUACUACAGUGUGGCUUGUGACGCUGUUUGUCGAACGAUGCUUACAUUUAGUGUGAUCCUCGUUCUAGAUGAGAAAUAUAUUGCAACAUGUAUCUUGGUGCAAUCCAAGGCUCGGAAUUCCUGACCUCGUUGUCACUGUCAAAGCGUUCAGCGUCGGACUAAGAAUGCUUUGUCGGGGCCUGUAUGACAACUCACUGGCC